UAAGGAAUAUUGGUCAAUGGACGCAAGUCUGAACCAGCCAUGCCGCGUGAAGGAUUAAGGUCCUCUGGAUUGUAAACUUCUUUUAUCUGGGACGAAAAAAGGCGAUUCUUCGUCACUUGACGGUACCAGAUGAAUAAGCACCGGCUAACUCCGUGCCAGCAGCCGCGGUAAUACGGAGGGUGCAAGCGUUAUCCGGAUUCACUGGGUUUAAAGGGUGCGUAGGCGGGCAGGUAAGUCAGUGGUGAAAUCCUAGAGCUUAACUCUAGAACUGCCAUUGAUACUAUCUGUCUUGAAUAUUGUGGAGGUAAGCGGAAUAUGUCAUGUAGCGGUGAAAUGCUUAGAUAUGACAUAGAACACCUAUUGCGAAGGCAGCUUACUACGCAUAUAUUGACGCUGAGGCACGAAAGCGUGGGGAUCAAACAGGAUUAGAUACCCACGUAGUCCCUGAGCGGGCUGGCAAGGCGCAU
This 467-nucleotide ribosomal RNA is filed under the name uncultured bacterium. Its description in RNAcentral is "bacterial SSU rRNA". It matches the Rfam family "Bacterial small subunit ribosomal RNA", at positions 355 to 825 of the family's 1533-position model. The record is from RNAcentral.